GUCAAUGGCCAUGCCACCCUGAACAAGCUCGAUCCUGUCAAAUCUUGGAAGCUAAGCUGGGUUGGGCCUGGUUAGUACUUGGAUGGGAUUCCACCUAGGAAGACCAGGUGCUGUAGGUG
Molecule: ribosomal RNA, 119 nt
Filed under: Pteropus alecto (black flying fox)
Lineage: Eukaryota; Metazoa; Chordata; Mammalia; Chiroptera; Pteropodidae
Source: RNAcentral